Harpia harpyja (harpy eagle) is the source of this 463-nucleotide long non-coding RNA. RefSeq lists it as uncharacterized. NCBI's taxonomy places the organism in Eukaryota, Metazoa, Chordata, Aves, Accipitriformes, Accipitridae. The transcript is spliced from 2 exons. The record is from RefSeq and is a predicted model, not a curated record.
AACACAGCCAUUAUGGGGAGGUCUGGAGCCAAACACAAGUAAACUCCACCAGGUUAUUGGGGUGGGCUCCAUGCCAGCCCACAAGCUUUAUGAAAACGCAGGAGCAACCGCCAUGCAAAGGAGACAGUGCUGCAAAGGUUGCGAGAAAACGGAGCUGCAAGAGGAGGAAGGAGGCAGCGAUGGAAGCAAGCAGCGAGAGGACACCACUGCCAGCAAUACCUGUGCCAGAGCCACAAGACUGGAAACUACCAACUUGAAUAAGGGCAAGAAAUACAUUUAAGGAAAUCUCCCAGGGAUCUGGAGGAUUAAGCAAAUACAUUGCCAGUAGGAGGUCACAGCAAAACAGGAUAAAACCCAAAGAAAUGUAAUGAAACAAUUAUAGACAGCUGUGAGUAGAAAGACAUUUGUGGAUCCGGUUAAUUCUGGUUCAUCUUUGUUAUAUAAAUCUAUUUUACAGACUUAA